RNAcentral lists this ribosomal RNA (200 nucleotides) under uncultured bacterium. Its description in RNAcentral is "partial 16S ribosomal RNA". It matches the Rfam family "Bacterial small subunit ribosomal RNA", at positions 524 to 723 of the family's 1533-position model. The record is from RNAcentral.
UACGAAGGGGGCUAGCGUUGCUCGGAAUCACUGGGCGUAAAGGGCGCGUAGGCGGCCAUUUAAGUCGGGGGUGAAAGCCUGUGGCUCAACCACAGAAUUGCCUUCGAUACUGGAUGGCUUGAGUUCGGUAGAGGUUGGUGGAACUGCGAGUGUAGAGGUGAAAUUCGUAGAUAUUCGCAAGAACACCGGUGGCGAAGGCG